AGUGAACGCUGGCGGUAGGCCUAACACAUGCAAGUCGAACGGCAGCACAGUAAGAGCUUGCUCUUACGGGUGGCGAGUGGCGGACGGGUGAGGAAUACAUCGGAAUCUACUUUUUCGUGGGGGAUAACGUAGGGAAACUUACGCUAAUACCGCAUACGACCUACGGGUGAAAGCAGGGGAUCUUCGGACCUUGCGCGAUUGAAUGAGCUGAUGUCGGAUUAGCUAGUUGGCGGGGUAAAGGCCCACCAAGGCGACGAUCCGUAGCUGGUCUGAGAGGAUGAUCGGCCACACUGGAACUGAGACACGGUCCAGACUCCUACGGGAGGCAGCAGUGGGGAAUAUUGGACAAUGGGCGCAAGCCUGAUCCAGCCAUACCGCGUGGGUGAAGAAGGCCUUCGGGUUGUAAAGCCCUUUUGUUGGGAAAGAAAAGCAGCAGGUUAAUACCCCGCUGUUCUGACGGUACCCAAAGAAUAAGCACCGGCUAACUUCGUG
This 492-nucleotide ribosomal RNA is filed under the name uncultured bacterium. Its description in RNAcentral is "partial 16S ribosomal RNA". It matches the Rfam family "Bacterial small subunit ribosomal RNA", at positions 29 to 507 of the family's 1533-position model. The record is from RNAcentral.